Small nucleolar RNA from Fukomys damarensis (Damara mole-rat), 135 nucleotides. Lineage: Eukaryota; Metazoa; Chordata; Mammalia; Rodentia; Bathyergidae. The record is from Ensembl.
UGAACCCACAGAUCUAGACUUGAGUAUUAAUUUUUUCAGAAAUUACAGUCUUGGUGCAAUAGAAAUUCAAUAUAUGACACUGUUGGUUUUCUUGGCUUUGUGUUUGUCAAAUUUGGUAUUUCUGAUGAUAUUGUC